UGCUUCCUAGUACCGCCUCCAAAUCCCAUGGGCCUCUGCGAAAUAGUAUUUAAGGGACGUCCGUUGCUCGUUUCGGUCUCAUUUUUCCCUGGCUUCGAAUUGGGGCACGUGACUGCUUACGGAAGGAUGGGAGUGUGCUUUCCUUGCAAUAUGGUUAAUAUCAAAGGACUUUACAGAUUGGAGCCAGGCUAGAUCAAUAUUGCACAUUUUGCUGGUAGUUCAGCAUCCUGUAACAUUCUGAAGAAUUCGAACUAUAUUCCAGGAUGAAUUGAGCCCAGGUUGUCCUGAUGACUUGUCCAAAGGAGGAGUUCAUUGCUGUAUGCCACCAAUUUCCAGCAUUCAGAGGUUCUGUUAACAGUGAAAUACUUGUUGGUUGGUUCAGAGAUCUGGUGUCUGGCCUAGAGAGCACCAAGAAUGCCAAGAAACCCUGCCAGGGAAAUUAAGCAUGUCUUCACUCAAGGCCGAGCUGAAAUAAGGUCUGAGGAAAGAGUGAACUGCAAGUGGAAGGAAUCAAAGUCUUCAAGGACAAAGAUUUUGACUAUUUGUAAUGUGUCAUCUUCAUUUUAUUAAUAAAAUUGGUCUUUACCAUA
Non-coding RNA from Cricetulus griseus (Chinese hamster), 590 nucleotides. NCBI's taxonomy places the organism in Eukaryota, Metazoa, Chordata, Mammalia, Rodentia, Cricetidae. The record is from RefSeq and is a predicted model, not a curated record.